CAGCAAACAUAGAAAGCGAUAAAAGAAAAAGAGAGGAGAGGAAAAAGAAAUGGAGGACGACAAUAAUAAUAACACCAACACAAACGUGAUCGCACCUUUUGUUGUGAAGACAUAUCAGAUGGUCAACGACCCUUCGACCGAUUGGCUCAUCACUUGGGGGCCUGCACACAACAGCUUCAUCGUCGUUGAUCCUCUCGACUUCUCUCAACGAAUCUUGCCUGCGUAUUUCAAACACAACAAUUUCAGCAGCUUUGUUCGUCAACUCAACACCUAUGGGUUUAGGAAAGUGGAUCCAGACCGGUGGGAGUUUGCGAACGAGCAUUUUCUCAGAGGACAGAAGCACCUGCUCAAGAACAUAGCGCGUAGGAAACACGCGCGUGGGAUGGUAUACGGCCAGGAGAUGGAGGACGGUGAGAUCGUGAGGGAGAUCGAACGGUUGAAAGAUGAGCAGAGAGAUCUUGAGUCAGAGAUUCAGAGGAUGAACCAAAGGAUCGAGGCGACGGAGAAGCGGCCGGAGCAGAUGAUGGCGUUUCUGUACAAGGUCGUUGAGGAUCCCGACCUCCUCCCGAGGAUGAUGCUCGAGAAAGAGCGGACAAAGCUAGUCUCCGACAAGAAGAAGCGUCGUGUCACGGUGAAGUCAGAGGACGAGGAAGAAAACGGAAGGGUCUUUGGGAUUAUUUCACCGACACCGUCUCCGCCGGAGAAUCUUUACCGGACUCAGUCGCCGGAGAAUUCUAUGGGAUGGGUUGUUCCGAUGCAGAAGCCGGGCAACUUUGGUAGUUACAACGAGACUGGUCUGAUUUCCACUUCGUCGACGUCAUCAUCGUUAACGUCGACGCUGUCGCUGCCGGAGAGCGUAAACGGAGGCGGCGGAGGAUGUGGGAGUAUUCAGGGAGAAACAAGAUACAAAGAAGCGGCGACGUUUGGAGGAGUGGUAGAGUCAAAUCCACAAACACCGCCUUAUCCGUUUUCUUUGUUUCGAGGUGGCUUUUAGUCUUUUAGCUUCACAUGAUAUAUGAUCUUUGUUUCUUAUCUAUUAUUUUUUGUUUUUUUGUUUUUUUGUUUUUCUUACCUAAUAAUGUAUAACCACCAGAAAAGGUAGAUCGAUUGUUGUUAGUGACAGGGAGACAGAGUCAGUAGUCAUAUCGUUUUAUAGAAAGUUGACAGUAUAUAUUUUCUGAUUAUAUUGUUAAAAGUUCAUUCAUAUGAUGGCUUUGUUUUUUUCUAAGUAUUUUCAGGUGAUUCGUAAACACUUUGUAAUAACAACAAUUUUGAUCUU
RNA transcript from Brassica rapa (field mustard), 1279 nucleotides. It is a transcript of the gene named heat stress transcription factor C-1, with no coding region annotated. NCBI's taxonomy places the organism in Eukaryota, Viridiplantae, Streptophyta, Magnoliopsida, Brassicales, Brassicaceae. The record is from RefSeq and is a predicted model, not a curated record.